UAAUAUCAUUAAUCAUCAGGUAUAGAUGUUACUUGUUUUAUUUUCCAUUAGUUUCUCAUAUUUGUCUUUUCUUUCACUUUAUAUGCUACUUCCUAUUUAAUGUGUGAGAUUGUGUUCCAUGGAUUGAUUCCUCCUGGUAAUGACUGCUAUCAUGUUGUACUUAGCUGCUUGUGUUUUUGUCAAGUAUGAUAAAAUAUGCUUCAUUUACUAAUCUUGCAUUUAUAUAUUAAUUUUGAUAUUGAAUGUUCCAAGUCCUUGUGUGACAUCUUCACGUGUUCAAGCUGUGUCUGUGUCCUUUUGGCUUCAGCUGUUGAUCACAGCAUCUCUUGUUUGAAAACUUUCCUUGUAGGCACAUGUUGAGCUAGACGGUUGGAAAUAACUGGUUCAGGUGGAAUGGGAAUUUAUUUUAUUUUAUAAUAGGAAAUUCACAAUCUGAACAUGCAAUUUCUUACUCAUGGUAAUUGUUUAGCAUGUGUGGACCAUUUGGCUCAUGAGAUUUUGUUCUAACUGAAAUAACACUAGUCUAUCUGCUGGAGGAAAGAACCCUAGCCAUCCUGAUGAUGUAUUCUUGCUGCAUCAUGGCAUUUAUUUUAGGUACCUUUUUUAAAUCAAUUUAGUUAAGACUGUGCAUGAUACCAUCUAUUAUCAAGUCUUCAUAUGAAUAAGUUGUUGAUAUGGAGACAGUUGAAGAGAUUGGAGCUGAAGUUGAAGCAGUUUGCAGAAGUGGAAACUUUUCUAAUGAGAGAG
This 747-nucleotide unclassified non-coding RNA is filed under the name Hevea brasiliensis (rubber tree). The record is from RNAcentral. Lineage: Eukaryota; Viridiplantae; Streptophyta; Magnoliopsida; Malpighiales; Euphorbiaceae.